GACGAACGCUGGCGGCGUGCUUAACACAUGCAAGUCGAACGGUGAAGCGAGUGCUUGCACUCGUGGAUCAGUGGCGAACGGGUGAGUAACACGUGAGUAACCUGCCCAUCACUCUGGGAUAAGCACUGGAAACGGUGUCUAAUACUGGAUACGACCAACCCUUGCAUGGGGUGUUGGUGGAAAGAUUUAUCGGUGAUGGAUGGACUCGCGGCCUAUCAGCUUGUUGGCGGGUUAAUGGCCCACCAAGGCGACGACGGGUAUCCGGCCUGAGAGGGUGACCGGCCACACUGGGACUGAGACACGGCCCAGACUCCUACGGGAGGCAGCAGUGGUGAAUAUUGCACAAUGGGCGAAAGCCUGAUGCCGCGACGCCGCGUGCGGGAUGACGGCCUUCCGGUUGUAAACCUCUUUCAGCAGGGAAGAAGCGAAAGUGACGGUACCUGCAGAAGAAGCACCGGCUAACUACGUG
Molecule: ribosomal RNA, 469 nt
Filed under: uncultured bacterium
Lineage: Bacteria
Description: partial 16S ribosomal RNA
Rfam family: Bacterial small subunit ribosomal RNA
Source: RNAcentral